GACGAACGUUGGCGGCGUGCUUAAUACAUGCAAGUCAACUGAAGCAGUGGUAGCAAUCUCGCUGUGGAGGUGGCGCACGGGUGAGUAACACGUAGGUAAUCUGCCUUCAGGUCUGGCAUAACUCCGGGAAACCGGGGCUAAUAGCAGAUGAUGCAGCGGCUCGACAUCGAGACAGUUGUUAAAGCUAUGGCGCCUGAAGAUGAGCCUGCGUCUGAUUAGCUAGUUGGCGGGGUAACGGCCCACCAAGGCAACGAUCAGUAGCUGGUCUGAGAGGAUGAUCAGCCACACUGGAACUGAGACACGGUCCAGACUCCUACGGGAGGCAGCAGUAAGGAAUAUUGCUCAAUGGGAGAAAUCCUGAAGCAGCAACGCCGCGUGAGGGACGAAGGGCUUUUGCUUGUAAACCUCUGUAGUGAGAGAAAAAAAAUCCCAAUCUUUGGGACAUGAUGGUAUCUCAAAAGUAAGCCCCGGCUAACUACGUG
Molecule: ribosomal RNA, 482 nt
Filed under: uncultured bacterium
Lineage: Bacteria
Description: partial 16S ribosomal RNA
Rfam family: Bacterial small subunit ribosomal RNA
Source: RNAcentral